CACACGACUCUCGGCAACGGAUAUCUCGGCUCUCGCAUCGAUGAAGAACGUAGCGAAAUGCGAUACCUGGUGUGAAUUGCAGAAUCCCGCGAACCAACGAGUCUUUGAACGCAAGUUGCGCCCGAGGCCACUCGGCCGAGGGCACGCCUGCCUGGGCGUCACGC
Molecule: ribosomal RNA, 164 nt
Filed under: Pseudoroegneria strigosa subsp. aegilopoides
Lineage: Eukaryota; Viridiplantae; Streptophyta; Magnoliopsida; Poales; Poaceae
Description: 5.8S ribosomal RNA
Rfam family: 5.8S ribosomal RNA
About the family: 5.8S ribosomal RNA (5.8S rRNA) is a component of the large subunit of the eukaryotic ribosome. It is transcribed by RNA polymerase I as part of the 45S precursor that also contains 18S and 28S rRNA. Functionally, it is thought that 5.8S rRNA may be involved in ribosome translocation.
Source: RNAcentral